RNAcentral lists this ribosomal RNA (496 nucleotides) under uncultured bacterium. RNAcentral describes it as "partial 16S ribosomal RNA". It matches the Rfam family "Bacterial small subunit ribosomal RNA", at positions 28 to 506 of the family's 1533-position model. The record is from RNAcentral.
GAUGAACGCUGGCGGCGUGCCUAAUACAUGCAAGUCGAGCGAACAGACGAGGAGCUUGCUCCUCUGACGUUAGCGGCGGACGGGUGAGUAACACGUGGAUAACCUACCUAUAAGACUGGGAUAACUUCGGGAAACCGGAGCUAAUACCGGAUAAUAUAUUGAACCGCAUGGUUCAAUAGUGAAAGACGGUUUUGCUGUCACUUAUAGAUGGAUCCGCGCCGCAUUAGCUAGUUGGUAAGGUAACGGCUUACCAAGGCAACGAUGCGUAGCCGACCUGAGAGGGUGUUCGGCCACAUGGGAACGGAGACACGGUCCAAACCCCUACGGGAGGCAGCAGUAGGGAAUCUUCCGAAAGGGGGGAAAGCCUGACGGAGCAACCCCGGGUGAGUGAUGAAGGUCUUCGGAUCGUAAAACUCUGUUAUUAGGGAAGAAAAAAUGUGUAAGUAACUAUGCACGUUUGGACGGUACCUAAUCAGAAAGCCACGGCUAACUACGU